RNAcentral lists this ribosomal RNA (253 nucleotides) under uncultured bacterium. Its description in RNAcentral is "partial 16S ribosomal RNA". It matches the Rfam family "Bacterial small subunit ribosomal RNA", at positions 524 to 776 of the family's 1533-position model. The record is from RNAcentral.
UACGAAGGGGGCUAGCGUUGUUCGGAAUUACUGGGCGUAAAGGGCGCGUAGGCGGUGUGUCAAGUCAGGCGUGAAAGCCCCGGGCUCAACCUGGGAACCGCGCUUGAGACUGGCACGCUCGAGUUCGGGAGAGGAUGGUGGAAUUCCCAGUGUAGAGGUGCAAUUCGUAGAUAUUAGGAAGAACACCAGUGGCGAAGGCGGCUCACUGGCCCGGUACUGACGCUGAGGCGCGAAAGCGUGGGGAGCAAACAGG